This 888-nucleotide ribosomal RNA is filed under the name Triticum aestivum (bread wheat). RNAcentral's name for it is "partial small subunit ribosomal RNA". Lineage: Eukaryota; Viridiplantae; Streptophyta; Magnoliopsida; Poales; Poaceae. The record is from RNAcentral.
AUGCUCUGUUUUCUUGUGCCAAGGAAAAAGAGAAAAAACAUCUCCGUGCUAGAACUGACUGAGCCACACCGCCGGGCCGAUCGAGGCGCUCCACGACGGCGACGGCGCCGCCGCAUUUGGCCCCACCCCCUCCAAUCCGGCUGGGUCCCCCCACCUCCUCCCGCCACCGCCUCUUCAACCACGGGAUCGAUCUCCUCCCGCCGGGGGAUCGACCCUCCUCCGCUGCCCGCCGGUCUACGACGCAGAUGCGUCUCUCCGCGGCUCGCGUGGAUGGGCGCGCGGGCCGGCGGGCGUGGAGGCGUUUCGGUCAGUACCCGCCUCCUGUUCAACCGGAGCAGACCCAUCCAGGGCCGACGCACGGCCUCUCUGCUCCGCGCCGCGGUCAGCAACCCCCAACAACUAAUGGUUCACUGGCUGGCUUCUUCCUGCAGAUUGGGUGGUUCACAGACGAAAACGGAGGACUGGGCGAAAGGCCAGUGGUAUGUGAGAUUGCAGUCCCACGUCCGCAGUGGACAGACCAACUAUCAUGAUCUAAUUACAUCUCCUAGCUACCACUUUUGUACGGAUUCCAUUUUCUUGGAAGCAUGCUUCCUCAGAUCUAGGUUGCUCACAUCGAUUAUCAUAGGAUAUUACCUGAAUUCAGAUAAAAUUGGUGGAAAACCCAGACAGCUUGCCCGGCUCAAGAAGUUCAUGAACUUUCAUAAUUCAGUUGUAUUGGACCAGAUCCUGUUGUAUAAUGAGCAGUUGAUAAUGAGCAUUCCAAUGGCAGGGCUGGUGGCCACCAUGGUGGUCAGACCACUGAUGUCCAUUGUGAAGGAGAAGGUAUCCAGGUACCUCCGUGCCAAGUACAAGGUGAUGGAGGAGCAGCACAGGAUCCUCAACCCCUAG